UGUCUUUCGCACUGCAGGCUGAGUUAGA
RNAcentral lists this non-coding RNA (28 nucleotides) under Rattus norvegicus (Norway rat). Lineage: Eukaryota; Metazoa; Chordata; Mammalia; Rodentia; Muridae. The record is from RNAcentral.